UCCGUAGGUGAACCUGCGGAAGGAUCAUUACAGAGUUCAUGCCCUUACGGGUAGAUCUCCCACCCUUGAAUAUCUUACCUUUGUUGCUUUGGCGGGCCGCUAUCGGCCACCGGCUUUCAGCUGGUGAGUGCCCGCCAGAGGACCCUAAACUCUGAAUUUUGUAUUGUCUGAGAACUAUAUAAUAGUUAAAACUUUCAACAACGGAUCUCUUGGUUCUGGCAUCGAUGAAGAACGCAGCGAAAUGCGAUAAGUAAUGUGAAUUGCAGAAUUCAGUGAAUCAUCGAAUCUUUGAACGCACAUUGCGCCCCUUGGUAUUCCGGGGGGCAUGCCUGUUCGAGCGUCAUAAUAACCCUCAAGCCUAGCUUGGUGUUGGGGCCUGCCUCCAGGCAGCCCUUAAAGUAAGUGGCGGUGCCGUUUGGCUCUAAGCGUAGUAAUAAACCCUCGCUAUAGUGUCCGGCGGUUAGCUUGCCAAAACCCCUAAAUUUCUAUGUUUGACCUCGGAUCAGGUAGGGAUACCCGCUGAACUUAAGCAUAUCAAUAAGG
Molecule: ribosomal RNA, 543 nt
Filed under: uncultured fungus
Lineage: Eukaryota; Fungi
Description: eukaryotic LSU rRNA
Rfam family: 5.8S ribosomal RNA (bases 190-343)
Source: RNAcentral